Molecule: ribosomal RNA, 301 nt
Filed under: uncultured bacterium
Lineage: Bacteria
Description: partial 16S ribosomal RNA
Rfam family: Bacterial small subunit ribosomal RNA
Source: RNAcentral
CAGCAGCCGCGGUAAUACGUAGGGUGCGAGCGUUAAUCGGAAUUACUGGGCGUAAAGCGUGCGCAGGCGGUUCGUUAAGACAGAUGUGAAAUCCCCGGGCUUAACCUGGGAACUGCAUUUGUGACUGGCGAGCUAGAGUAUGGCAGAGGGGGGUAGAAUUCCACGUGUAGCAGUGAAAUGCGUAGAGAUGUGGAGGAAUACCGAUGGCGAAGGCAGCCCCCUGGGCCAAUACUGACGCUCAUGCACGAAAGCGUGGGGAGUAAACAGGAUUAGAUACCCCAGUAGUCCCUGUCUCUUAUAC